UACGUAGGGACCAAGCGUUGUUCGGAUUUACUGGGCGUAAAGGGCGCGUAGGCGGCAUGACAAGUCACUUGUGAAAUCUCCGGGCUUAACUCGGAACGGUCAAGUGAUACUGUCGCGCUAGAGUGCGGAAGGGGCAAUCAGGAUUCUUGGUGUAGCGGUGAAAUGCGUAGAUAUCAAGAGGAAUACCUGAGGUGAAGACGGGUUGCUAGGCCGACACUGACGCUGAAGCGCGAAAGCCAGGGGAGCAAACGGG
Molecule: ribosomal RNA, 253 nt
Filed under: uncultured bacterium
Lineage: Bacteria
Description: partial 16S ribosomal RNA
Rfam family: Bacterial small subunit ribosomal RNA
Source: RNAcentral